Molecule: ribosomal RNA, 603 nt
Filed under: Triticum aestivum (bread wheat)
Lineage: Eukaryota; Viridiplantae; Streptophyta; Magnoliopsida; Poales; Poaceae
Description: partial small subunit ribosomal RNA
Source: RNAcentral
AUGUUAUGCUUGACCACUUCCUACAUGAGAUUGUUCACUUGGUGUCUUCUGUCUCAAAUGUCGCUCAGGUUCUUUCUCCGUGUGACAAUCCAGCUCGGCUUGACUGGUAUGAAAGUUGCAUGUUAUUCAGGUUGCACAUCUCACAAUUGUUUAGAAGAAAUGCAUAUUCUUUAUCCAUAUCUACAUUUGCUUUUAGUCAUAGCAAAAAGGGACAAGGACGACGACUUCAACAGUGAUAGGACGGAAGCCAGUAUGCCUGGACCAACAAGCCAGUGUUCUUUCUUCCCUUCUUUCAUUACGUCGGGAGUGGAUAAUCAACUUUCAUUUUUCUUUUCUGUACCUUCUUAUUUAUGCAUCUUAGUUAGGAAUCUAACUACGUUUCUUUGCAUCAUGGAAUAUUUUUUACAGGAUUUGCAGACAUUUGCUAAGCUUAAAUACGUGAAUAUGGACAUGUGGUAUUAUUCAUUAGAGUGGACAGGUGAAUGUAGACAAUUUCGGUGGUUUAUAAUUUUUAUCAGAGGCUACAAGGAACUAAGGAGCGGCAGUUGGAGAAGAAGGGUGCCAAAAUCCAAAAAGGAAUUGGGCAUGCAGCCACUCCACUGA